This 2184-nucleotide ribosomal RNA is filed under the name Salmonella enterica subsp. enterica serovar Typhi. RNAcentral's name for it is "bacterial LSU rRNA". It matches the Rfam family "Bacterial large subunit ribosomal RNA", at positions 761 to 2925 of the family's 2925-position model. Lineage: Bacteria; Pseudomonadati; Pseudomonadota; Gammaproteobacteria; Enterobacterales; Enterobacteriaceae. The record is from RNAcentral.
ACUAACUGGAGGACCGAACCCACUGUCGUUGAAAAGCCAGGGGAUGACUUGUGGAUAGGGGUGAAAGGCUAAUCAAGCCUGGUGAUAGCUGGUUCUCCCCGAAAGCUAUUUAGGUAGCGCCUCGGACGAAUACCAUAGGGGGUAGAGCACUGUUUCGGCUAGGGGGUCAUCCCGACUUACCAAACCGAUGCAAACUCCGAAUACCUAUGAGUACUAUCCGGGAGACAGACUGCGGGUGCUAACGUCCGUAGUCAAGAGGAAAACAAUCCAGACCGCCAGCUAAGGCCCCAAAAUCAUAGUUAAGUGGGAAACGAUGUGGGAAGGCAUAGACAGCUAGGAGGUUGGCUUAGAAGCAGCCACCCUUUAAAGAAAGCGUAAUAGCUCACUAGUCGAGUCGGCCUGCGCGGAAGAUGUAACGGGGCUAAAACUAUGUGCCGAAGCUGCGGAUUUGACAUUAGUCAAGUGGUAGGGGAGCGUUCUGUAAGCCGAUGAAGGUGUGUUGAGAAGCAUGCUGGAGGUAUCAGAAGUGCGAAUGCUGACGUGAGUAACGACAAAACGGGUGAAAAACCCGUUCGCCGAAAGACCAAGGGUUCCAGUCCAACGUUAAUCGGGGCUGGGUGAGUCGACCCCUAAGGCGAGGCCGAAAGGCGUAGUCGAUGGGAAAAUGGUUAAUAUUCCAUUACUUCUGUGUAAUGCGAUGAGAGGACGGAGAAGGCUAAAUCAGCCUGGCGUUGGUUGUCCAGGUGAAAGGAUGUAGGCAUGUAUCUUAGGCAAAUCCGGGGUACUCUAUGCUGAGAUCUGAUAGCAAGCUGUACUUGUACAGCGAAGUGGUUGAUGCCAUGCUUCCAGGAAAAGUCUCUAAGCUUCAGUUACACAGGAAUCGUACCCGAAACCGACACAGGUGGUCAGGUCGAGUAGACCAAGGCGCUUGAGAGAACUCUGCUGAAGGAACUAGGCAAAAUGGUACCGUAACUUCGGGAGAAGGUACGCUGUUGUUGGUGAUGGAACUCGCUUCCUGAGCUGACGACAGCCGCAGAAACCAGGCCGCUGCAACUGUUUAUUAAAAACAUAGCACUCUGCAAACACGAAAGUGGACGUAUAGGGUGUGAUGCCUGCCCGGUGCUGGAAGGUUAAUUGAUGGGGUUAGCGUAAGCGAAGCUCUUGAUCGAAGCCCCAGUAAACGGCGGCCGUAACUAUAACGGUCCUAAGGUAGCGAAAUUCCUUGUCGGGUAAGUUCCGACCUGCACGAAUGGCAUAAUGAUGGCGGCGCUGUCUCCAGCAGAGGCUCAGUGAAAUCGAAAUCGCUGUGAAGAUGCAGUGUACCCGCGGCUAGACGGAAAGACCCCGUGAACCUUUACUGCAGCUUGACACUGAACUUUGACCUUACUUGUGUAGGAUAGGUGGGAGGCUUUGAAGCUGGAACGCUAGUUCCAGUGGAGCCGUCCUUGAAAUACCACCCUGGUAAUGUUGAGGUUCUAACUCUGUCCCGUGAUCCGGGACGAGGACCGUGUCUGGUGGGUAGUUUGACUGGGGCGGUCUCCUCCUAAAGAGUAACGGAGGAGUACGAAGGUGCGCUCAGCGUGGUCGGAAAUCACGCGUAGAGUAUAAAGGCAAAAGCGCGCUUAACUGCGAGACCCACAAGUCGAGCAGGUACGAAAGUAGGUCUUAGUGAUCCGGUGGUUCUGUAUGGAAGGGCCAUCGCUCAACGGAUAAAAGGUACUCUGGGGAUAACAGGCUGAUACCGCCCAAGAGUUCAUAUCGACGGCGGUGUUUGGCACCUCGAUGUCGGCUCAUCACAUCCUGGGGCUGAAGUAGGUCCCAAGGGUAUGGCUGUUCGCCAUUUAAAGAGGUACGCGAGCUGGGUUUAGAACGUCGUGAGACAGUUCGGUCCCUAUCUACCGUGGGCGCUGGAAAUUUGAGAGGAUCUGCUCCUAGUACGAGAGGACCAGAGUGGACGAACCUCUGGUGUACCGGUUGUGACGCCAGUCGCAUCGCCGGGUAGCUAUGUUCGGAAGGGAUAACCGCUGAAAGCAUCUAAGCGGGAAGCCUACCUCAAGAUAAGAUUUCCCUAGGACUUUAUGUCCUCUAAAGAGCCGUUCGAGACUAGGACGUUGAUAGGUUGGAUGUGGAAGCAUAGUGAUAUGUGAAGCUGACCAAUACUAAUUGCUCGUGAGGCUUGACUAU